GUGGAGAUGGCUCAGUGGUUAAGAGCACCAGUUCACCUUCCAGAGGACCUGGGUUCAAUUCCCAGCACCCACA
Molecule: transfer RNA, 73 nt
Filed under: Mus musculus (house mouse)
Lineage: Eukaryota; Metazoa; Chordata; Mammalia; Rodentia; Muridae
Also listed under: 1 other name
Rfam family: tRNA
About the family: Transfer RNA (tRNA) molecules are approximately 80 nucleotides in length. Their secondary structure includes four short double-helical elements and three loops (D, anti-codon, and T loops). Further hydrogen bonds mediate the characteristic L-shaped molecular structure. tRNAs have two regions of fundamental functional importance: the anti-codon, which is responsible for specific mRNA codon recognition, and the 3' end, to which the tRNAs corresponding amino acid is attached (by aminoacyl-tRNA synthetases). tRNAs cope with the degeneracy of the genetic code in two manners: having more than one tRNA (with a specific anti-codon) for a particular amino acid; and 'wobble' base-pairing, i.e. permitting non-standard base-pairing at the 3rd anti-codon position.
Source: Rfam by way of RNAcentral